RNAcentral lists this non-coding RNA (3461 nucleotides) under synthetic construct. The record is from RNAcentral.
CCGGUAAAGAUUCCUGUUUUCUCUUUAAGGGAUUGUCUACUUUGAUAUCCACCCACUUUGCUGUUUAUCACCCAAAUUUCACAGUCAAUGAUGAAUUACUACUGCCUCCCCUCUUGGCCUACAAGAUGCAUUCAACCAUUGAGGGAAUUGAUGAAGUAUCCAAGGGACUCCUGAAAGCAAUUUACCUGGACUCUUACAGAAUGGACAAUAACAUAGAUGAUUUUCAAAACCCAGCGGGGACAUUCACACUUCUGUGCUUGCCCACCAUUUUUACUAAACACCUCACUGUCCCAAAUGUUCUAAUCCUGAUAAAACGCGCAGGGUUGAUGUAUGAGGCCAUAGACAACAUUAUUUUAUGAUAAAUUUAAUAAAGUUUCAUAAUUUGACAAUAUCAUGUCUCUUUCUUCAUCAUUCAGUUGUAGUAUGUCACACAGUUCCAUGAUAUAAGGGGUAUAAUCAAAGCAGCUUGGGAGGGGUUUGUCUUGCAUCCAAAAAGACAUUCCAUGCUUUGUGUGGAGAUAAAAUGCAGGAGCUAUGGUAAAGAAAAGUCCUUUGGGCCGGAUGGUGGGAUGUUCUAUAUUCAUUGUUUCUUUUAGCCAGAAAGAGGUAUUUCUUCUUUGCUGCCACAUGGUCAGAAGAAUUUUCCAGAGUAUGUCUUCCUUUGAGUGUUUACAAAGACAGAGUGAAUAUCUUAGAAUAUCCUCGCAUGCGCUUUGAAAAGUCUCUGGUUGCCUGUUUUCUUCAAGACAGAGUGGUUUGAUCAACUUUAUUUCAUCCAGAAUAUCAGUGAACAUAGCAACUUUUAGUUUCUGUGAUGAGACUGUAAUAUCCCCUACGUGUCCAUUAUAAACUGAUGAGAGUCUGUGGAAUAUUUCAUCCAGGAACUGUGUAUCAUUCACCAGGUCGGGUCCCACCAUGUGAACUGUACAUUUGCUUAUACUCACCCAGGUGAAGUUAUGUUUAUUCCCACUUGAUAUGAUAGCAUAGAGAAACUCAUUAUAUCUUGACACUAGAGAAUCCUUCAUUUCAUCUGUUAUCACAUUAACAAUUUCCACCAUCUGCUCAUGCCAGUAAACUGCAUAAGGCAUGUUACAGGAAAUAAGGAAAGCCUUUGUAAAGUCAAUUUCAACUACAUUACAUUCCUUUGUAAUUAUAACCUUGUUAUCUUCAGCAAAACUUCCAUUUAAUUCUUUGGUGAGCAAGGGCCACAUACUGGUGAUUGGUUUCUUCUGAGCCUUUAUGUCCAAAACUUUGUCUGCUAGAGGAGACCUGAUAACAUUAGGUAAUUUUGCAAGUAUUUUUAAACAAUCCUUCUGUAAGUGGACACAGCUGGUUUUUACAGGCUUGCCAAAUCUUAAACACAGGAAAGGAAAGCUAGUAAAAAUGGUGUUGAAGAAAGUGGGAGACUCCACAGCUGCUGGGAAAACGUAGGCAAGUAUAGGUUUGAGGCCAAUAAAAUUACCAUAUAGUUUCACAUACAGGGCUCUAAAAAACUCUGAAAGAUACCCGUUCCAUACACUGUCUUUAUCUAUCCAUAAAAUAUGAAAUGGUGUUUCAAAAGUUCUUACUGUAAUGGGGCUGCCGGCAACGUGUAAAAUGGUAUCAACAGGGCUGAAAAUAUCUUCUAUGGUCAGACUGUCCAACCUCCCCUUCUUGGCUGGUAUGUCUCGGGAAUCAUAUACAUAGACGCCCCGACAGGUCUUCAAAUAAACCUGAGGCUGACAGAGGUUGAAAUCCUUAAGUAAGUGUUCUUUCCAUGAUGUAAGCUUCCCACGGUCGUCCUCUUGUCUAAUGGUAGUACCAAAACACAUCAAAUAACCUCCUGUGAGCUGAUGAGUCAGGGCAGUUUCAACUUCUUCUACAGCCAGUAUCUCCUUGCCAGAAGUACCCAAUUUCAUUCUUCCAAGGUUAAUGAGCUUCCUCAGUAAUGGUGACUGAUAUCUCAUUAACAAAUCAAAAAGGCAGAUAUUUUCAUUGUGCAUAAACGGAGACAUUGGACGAGGGUCCAUUUCUCCUGGAAUGUGUGGUACAGUCUCUGAAAGUUGUUCCAAUCUGAAAAACGCACACAAAUCCCAGGUAGCCGUUUUGAGGGCAGUGAUUACCCAUAUACCAGUUUUAUGUGGCAUUGAAAUAUUAUAAAGGCUGACAUUCAAGACCUGAACAUCGUGCCAUUGAAGUCUGCACAUUUUACCAGCGGCAGAAGCACGAUUAUUAAAAAGCACCUACAAUACCGGCUACUGAAUAUAGGACUGCGUGGGAGGUGUGGCUAGUCUAUUUUCAAAUGCCUGCCCUUAAAGUGCCACAGCUAAAAAAGUUGGAGCCGUCUAGGAGUGACUCCUUCCUGUUGAAGUCAUGGACCAACCUCCUAGCUCUUCUCACACUACUGUUUGUGACAAGUUCAACUGUUCCCAUACUGGCCUCUUUCAGGGGGGUUGGAUUCCCAUGUUAUUUUGUCAACCUGGUGGAUUAUAGCACUUUGAACCUAACAGUGAGAAAUUCUGCAAAGCACUUAACACCCACACUGUUUCUAGAAGGGCCAGAAAUGUUUGUGUACAUAGUAUGGUCAUUCCUAACAGAAGCUAUUAAUAUAAUUUAUUUUAUUUUUGGCGCAGUAACAGUGUACCGUCUGAAGAAAAUCUUCAUGCCCUCCCUGAAUGCCAUACAAGUGUGGCUCACUCUUAUUGGGGGACACUCAACACUUUACCUGUCCAUCGCCAGACUAUGGACACUUCAGCUGUUUGUGCAUGUUUUGAGCUUUAAGCAGAUAUUUCUAGCAGCCUUUGUUUACCUGUUUCAUUUCAUGCUGUCAUAUGUCCAUGUACACGUGUUUAUAUCUAGGUAUGUGCCCCAGUGGCAAGCAAAUGAUAUGGAACAGAAAAUACCUGAAGGCAGCUCUCUAGAAAAACUGGUGUUGUUCUACAGACCAAUUUUGGCCAACAUUCAAAUGUCCCUACUGGCUCUGGAAAUGCUGGUGUUCUCACUGAGUGUCAUGAUGGCAGUUUGUAAUUCUUUUUACAUCCUGGUAUCAGAUGCAGUGUUUGGUGCUGUCAACCUAUUCCUCAUCAUAUCUCUGGUGUGGCAUAUCGGGGCAGAAGUGUUCCUGGCCAAGUACCUAAGACAUCAUGUUGGAUUUUACAUUGGGCUUUUUGUGGCAUAUGUUAUUAUGCUUCUCCCUGUUAUCAGAUAUGAUGCCAUCUUUGUCACCUCGCGGCUUCACAAACCAAUUACUAUUAAUAUGACAAUAAUUCCCAUAAUAUGUCUAAUAAUAAUUGUUGUGAGAAUCAUCAGACUCAGAUCACAGACCAGCACCAAGGUGACUUAUAAGAAAUUGGGUAUUAGCGGCGCCAUGGAAGCACAACCUUUCCAGUCUAUCCCACAACCCCCCAGAGCAAAAUAUACAGACUUGGAGACAGAAUCAGAAGAUGAACUAUAAACAUUUUAUUAAAGUAAUUAAAGCAAAU